UGUGGCGGUCAAAGCCAAAGGGUAACACCUGUUCUCAUUCCGAACACAGAAGUUAAGCCUUUGUACGUUCCUUUGUGGUACUGCAUUUAUGUGGGAAGCUUGGAAAGCUGCCAUAU
Molecule: ribosomal RNA, 116 nt
Filed under: Candidatus Woesearchaeota archaeon
Lineage: Archaea; Nanobdellati; Candidatus Woesearchaeota
Source: RNAcentral